RNAcentral lists this transfer RNA (86 nucleotides) under Alyssum desertorum. RNAcentral's name for it is "tRNA-Val". The stretch from base 11 to 86 matches the Rfam family "tRNA". From Rfam's summary of the family: Transfer RNA (tRNA) molecules are approximately 80 nucleotides in length. Their secondary structure includes four short double-helical elements and three loops (D, anti-codon, and T loops). Lineage: Eukaryota; Viridiplantae; Streptophyta; Magnoliopsida; Brassicales; Brassicaceae. The record is from RNAcentral.
CACAAACACAAGGGCUAUAGCUCAGUUAGGUAGAGCACCUCGUUUACACACCGAGCAGGUCUACGGUUCGAAUCCGUAUAGCCCUA